Molecule: transfer RNA, 80 nt
Filed under: Priestia megaterium
Lineage: Bacteria; Bacillati; Bacillota; Bacilli; Caryophanales; Bacillaceae
Description: tRNA-Gly
Source: RNAcentral
UUAUUUAAUGGAAGACGGCGAGUUAGUACUCGGUCCUUUCCAGGGGCUGCCGGCUUGUGUUCGAAUUCCACUUGGAAAAG